GACGAACGCUGGCGGCGUGCUUAACACAUGCAAGUCGAACGGAAAGGCCCUGCUUUUGUUGGUUUCUCGAUUGGCGAACGGGUGUGUAACACGUGAGUAACCUGCCCUUGUCUUUGUGAUAACUUCAGGAAACUGGGUCUCAUAUCGGAUAUGAUCUCUUGCUCCAUGUUGUGCGUUGGAAAGUUUCGGCGUUUGGGUAUGGACUCGCAGGUUAUGAGCUUGUUUGUCUGGUAGUGGCUUACCAAGGCUUUGACGGAUAGCCGGCCUGAGAGGGUGACCGGCGACAUGGGGACUGAGAUACGGCGCAGAAUCCUACGGGAGGCAGCAGGGGGGAAUAUUGCAGAAUGGGCGGAAGCCUGAUGCAAAAACGCCGCGUGCGGGAUGACGGCCUUCGGGUUGUAAACCGCUUUCGCAUGUGACGAAGCGUGAGUGACGGUAAUGGGUAAAGAAGCACCGGCUAACUACGUG
This 468-nucleotide ribosomal RNA is filed under the name uncultured bacterium. Its description in RNAcentral is "partial 16S ribosomal RNA". It matches the Rfam family "Bacterial small subunit ribosomal RNA", at positions 28 to 507 of the family's 1533-position model. The record is from RNAcentral.